RNAcentral lists this long non-coding RNA (637 nucleotides) under Homo sapiens (human). RNAcentral's name for it is "HSALNT0295047". The record is from RNAcentral. Lineage: Eukaryota; Metazoa; Chordata; Mammalia; Primates; Hominidae.
UGUGGCAGGCACUGUGUUGACAUAUCCAGUAUAGGAGUGCCCUGGGAGCCCAUCUCUCAUUUCUGAAAGAGAUAGCAUUGUAGAUCUGGACGUUUCAUCACAUAUUCCCAGGAAGGCCCAGCCAAAUGCAGCUGGUAAGUUGCUGAAUGUGGAAUUCCUCUUGGCCUUCCAACUCCUUGCACUCUUCCUUCUGGGACUACUUUGGUUUUUCAGUUUAUUACCUGUUUGGAGUUGGCUUGUUUCUGGACUCUCUCUUCUGCUCAGGUGAGCAGACUUCUAACUGGAAUACCUGGCUCUUGGACAAGGCACUGUGCCAGACAUUGGGCUAGGUGCUGGGAAUUGAAAUAAUAAACUAUUUCCUGAUUUCUCUUCUCUCUUCUGGAGAAAGAAUUGGAUUAGAACAAGAUGAUACGCUGAGAACCAAAUCUACCCUGUCAGCUUACUCUUCAAGAACAAGCCAAGCAACUGAAAACUGAGUCCACGCUCAGCUAAGUCAAAGCCCAGGGGAUUACUGGCAUCACCACCCACCCCACCUGGAGCAUGACAAUGUCUGUGAGAGAAUAAGAGAUGGGUGGUGUCACCACUAUCUUUCUCUUUCUGUUCUCCAAAUUAUAAUAAUAACAGUCUCUUUUCCUCC